AAAGAAACAGUUUCAGAUUCAGUUUCAUUAUUCGCCGUUGUUACUUUCCUGUUGAUGAAAUACUCCGACGAUUAAUCACUAGAUCGGAGAAGGAGAACAAUCGUUUGUGCAUAAAAUCCAUGAAAUAACUGAUUAAAUAGAAACAAAGAUUCAGAAUCAAAUUUCUUUUGGAAUAAAAAUGGUGAAAGGAAAAAUGAAUCCCCCUAGAAAAGAUGAUACAAUUACAGGAAACCUAAGGCAGUCGUUGAAUGCAGUA
Papaver somniferum (opium poppy) is the source of this 256-nucleotide long non-coding RNA. RefSeq lists it as uncharacterized. The record is from RefSeq and is a predicted model, not a curated record. NCBI's taxonomy places the organism in Eukaryota, Viridiplantae, Streptophyta, Magnoliopsida, Ranunculales, Papaveraceae. The transcript is spliced from 4 exons.